CCACCACGGCUGGAAAUGCCACACGCGGGGGGCGGGGGACACUGCAGGGGGAACAGGGAAAGGCAUCCUCGCAGCACGGCCCAUCGGGAGGUGCAGCUCUGUCCCGCAGGCACUGGCAAGCACAGGCGUCUGCCCGCCUGCAUCCGCGCAGGGGAGACCCCCGCACGGGCCAGGCGCACUCAGGGUCUCCCUGGGUGCCCACAUUCGGAACAGGGACUUCUGCCUCACUUGAACGUCUUAUAAGCACGUGCCGCGUUGUCACCAAAAACCAAACCGCAGUCUGUCUCUCAACCUUGCUGUCCUGUUGUCACUGCCGUAACCCCGAGGGGGCAGUGCCAUGCUUCCCCAGGCCGGGGCCUGGCUGGGGACACGGGCCAAGACAAGCGUCUCCCCGCCUCUGGGGCAGCCCGACUCCCUCCAGCUCCAGCACACUGGUGUCUCCAGCUGCACAACCUCCCGGAACACGAGCAGUGCCCGAGCCGGGAAGGUGGCGUCUGUGGCUCGUGUGGGGCCGUGGAAGGACCAGCCACGCCCAGUGUGCAGCGGGUCACAGCAGCAGCUCCCAGGCCCACAGAGCGAUGCGGCGUCAGUCCCAGCCCCCAGAGAACCAGCCGCCUCUCCCUGGAGACGGAAGGCAGGGCUGCUGCUCUAGCUCGUCGGGGGCGCAGGCGGGAGAGAACGGGAUGGUCAGCCGGGCUGCUGUGCUCAGCCUCCCUCUGCUCCUCUGGAGCCGAGCGCUGGCGCCAGCAGCAGGGCUGGGCACACGCGGCGGUGCCGGGAUGGCCUGCACGGCGCUGGGAGCAGCUGGCCAUGCACAGCACGCGAGGGACUCGGCCCAGCCGGGGCCUGCAGCCCACGCAGCCAGGGACAGACAGCGGGACUCAGCAGUCGAAAGCAAUGGCGUCCCUGGGCCCCUGGGAGGAGGGCAGCUUGCUGCUCGCAGGGCACACGGAUCCCCAGGUAAACAAACGGGCCUUCAGGGCUCCUCCUUGGGGGCUGCCCCUCCCAGCGGGCAAUGGUCCGUGGCCGCAGCGGGGGAGACUGGACUGGGGGUCGCCUUGGCCCACAGCAGCCAUGUGUUCUGAGCAGACAGGGCAGCCCCGGUGGCCCUGGAGGGCAGAGAACAAACCCGGGCUGUCCCCCUGCCCUGUGUGCCUAACCCCACCAUCUGCAGGGAAUCGGCCUCUCUUCAGCCUCAGGGAGGAAACUCCGGCACAGAAAGUCUGACUCACGAGGGGCCAAGACCUCACGGAUGAAGCUCCCGGCAGCACCCAGUGCCCCCACGCCCUGGGUCCCAGGGGCGAGCGCUCACACACAGCUGCGACAGACACUGUGCCGGCCCCCAGGUGCCCACCCACACCUGUCUUGGCAGGAGCCUUCCGGUCCCCACCUGUGACUGUUCCUCAUACUGCUGAGAUGACCCCACGGAUCCCUGCCACGGCUCAUGCUCCUGGGGACGGUGCCCACAGGCUGGGAACACCUGCCAGGCCAGGGGCAGCUCUGCCUGAAAUCCGCCCUCACCACAGGAUUGCCACGGCCGGACGGCCCCAGGCUGCGUCUGCACCAAGCCCAGCCCCGCUGCCUUCUCCAAAGCUUGUCUGCCUCUGGGAGCCCGGGACCAAGCCUCGCCCCAUUUUCCACAAGAGACACCCCUUGAGAAAGGAAAGUAGCACAAAAGACCCCAUUUCCUGUCCACAGAUGAACCAGGGUGCUUCUGGCCACAGUGACGAAAGUUAAUUCCAACCCAGAGUUUGUGAGCCACAACCGACACAAGACGCACCGUGACCGACGGCCCAAGCCCUGCCCAGCGCCUGAGCACGUCCGCAGCCCGCUUGCUUCCUGACACCCCAUGGACAUGCAGCACAGGCCCAGAGCAGCAGGGCCAAGGUGAAGGGGGCCCCCCCGCAGGGCCUCUGUGCUGUGACUCACCUGCCUUCUGCUCCAAGGGCCCAGCACCCUGAGAUCCUGAUGCCAGGGUAAGCCGGGGGGACGCUCAUAGCAGAGGACACGGGUGGGCACUGGUCCCGGAGGUGGGUGCUGCUGACAGCGGUGGGACCCCAGCUAUGUGUCGUGGGGCUCUGGGAUGGCAGUUAGGGGGGGCAUCACCCACCUCUUAAACUCACAGUGAUCCCCGAGGCCAGCUCAGGAGCUCUGGCCGCCUACGCUGCCCCUCCAUGGGGGGACCCCUCUUGGCUGGCACAGCAGUUGAGGGGCCGGGAGGGGUUGGACACCGGGAGGCAGACGCUGCUGCUGUGAGGCAGGGGGGACGCAGCAGCUGGAGGCCCCUGUGACCCCACCGUACGCAGGGAACACACUCACCGCCGUCCUCAGAGGCCAAGGCAUAAGAGGAUCACCGAGCCAGGGGCUGUGCCUGCCUGAUAUUAAUAGCACUUGGCUGUGCCCGGUGUGGCCUGGACAGCCCCAGGGCAGCCCUCAGCGUGCAGGGCCCUCUGUGUGGGGGCUGGCACUCCCACCGGGGACCUGAGGCCACCGUGCUCCUGCGCCCUCCCGAACUCCGUGGAAACAGCUGCAGAGCCAAGACGGGGACAUCUGAGGCGAGCUCUUGGACAGCCGAGAAUAACUGCCCUACCUGCCCCGCCCCCGGCUCCGCUCGCAGAGCUCAGCAGAUGAGGCCCAGGAGCCAGCCCCGCCUCAGCAAGGUCACUGCCAGCCUCCCUCCACUCCCACGUCUCGAGCACAGCUACGAGUCACUGCAGCCCACCGGGGACUGGUUCCUGCACCAGCAGGGCCAGCUCUGAGGCAGGUGCGGAGACGGAGCCCAUGAGGGCCAGGGAGGCCAUAAACAACGGACAAGGCAGACAGACCGCCCUGCGCAGCCCAAAGAUGGGGAAGGAGGAAACCGGAGCGGUGGGGGGGGGGGAGCCUCCGGGUGUCUGCACAGACCUGGACGCCAGCUACAGCCCGCCUGGGACAUC
Lemur catta (Ring-tailed lemur) is the source of this 2936-nucleotide long non-coding RNA. RefSeq lists it as uncharacterized. The record is from RefSeq and is a predicted model, not a curated record. NCBI's taxonomy places the organism in Eukaryota, Metazoa, Chordata, Mammalia, Primates, Lemuridae. The transcript has 3 exons.